GAGGAUUACACUGUCUCCCUCCCCCAAUCAAUGAAACUGACCUCCCCGUGAAGAAGCGGGGAUAAACAUAUAAGACGAGAAGACCCUAUGGAGCUUUAAACACACCACUACUUAUCUAAAUCUACUCCAUCCAAGACAGAUAAAACUAAUGUGCGUUUUCAGUUGGGGUGACUGCGGAGCAUAAUAAAACCUCCACGAUGAAAACUAAUCCAAGAACAACAGUUCAAAGAAUCAAUAAAUUGACAUCAAUUGACCCAAAUAAAAUUAUUUGAUCAACGAACCAAGUUACCCUAGGGAUAACAGCGCAAUCCAUUUCAAGAGCUCAUAUCGACAAAUG
RNAcentral lists this ribosomal RNA (337 nucleotides) under Chiasmocleis altomontana. RNAcentral's name for it is "partial 16S ribosomal RNA". It matches the Rfam family "Bacterial large subunit ribosomal RNA", at positions 2006 to 2514 of the family's 2925-position model. The record is from RNAcentral. Lineage: Eukaryota; Metazoa; Chordata; Amphibia; Anura; Microhylidae.